UUCCAGGUCGUCAAGAGGCUUAAGACACCGGUCUCGUGGGAUGUAAUAGUUUACGUAGUAUGGGGGCAGAACCUGUAUCUCGCUUAAAACCGGCAUCGGGGGUUCGAAUCCCUCCCUGGAAA
RNAcentral lists this transfer RNA (122 nucleotides) under Eubacterium sp. RNAcentral's name for it is "tRNA-OTHER". It matches the Rfam family "tRNA". From Rfam's summary of the family: Transfer RNA (tRNA) molecules are approximately 80 nucleotides in length. Their secondary structure includes four short double-helical elements and three loops (D, anti-codon, and T loops). Lineage: Bacteria; Bacillati; Bacillota; Clostridia; Eubacteriales; Eubacteriaceae. The record is from RNAcentral.